UAAAUGACUCUGUGUUCCUCCUCCCUGUUUCCAUUUCCAGACUUCCCAAAGUUCUUCAAAAAGAAUUCUGCAGCCAUUCAGAAGACAGAAGGAGGAAAACGGUCAUUACGAAAGAGAGCAGAGAGAGUCAAGGCCAGUCCAAGGGGAGAAGCCAGGCUACGGGCCAUCGUCUGGACUUGUCCCUGGGGAGGAAAAACGAUGAGCAGCCGCAGCAGCUGGGGGUGGGUGGGUAAAGAACAAGCAGAUUUCUCUGUUGUCCCCCAUCAGCCUCCUGCUGCAGGGGCUCUGCAGGCCAGGCAGGAUGGGUAGCAGCAGUGUUCUGAUUCUCCAUUCCUUUCCCACCACAACUGUGGCAAUGGGAUUUCCAGCCCCUCCACCCUCCUCUAAGGGUCACUGUUCUUCCUGCCCAUUACUAUGAGGCCUGGCUACCUGGGCUUGGACCAUGUGCCUUCAGCAGAUACGUAAACAAAAGUUUCACAGGGUGCAGUUGAAUCUUGCCUCUUGCGUUUCCACCACGGCUAUUACAACAUGGCCGGGACAGCCUGCUGCUGGGGCAGCCAGGACGAGAGCCAGAGGGAGCAGGCAGAGCCCACCCAGGACUUAGGGCCAAGCUGCAGCCAAGUUCAGGCAAACAAAAGUCAACGGAUGACUGCAAGCUGCUGGGCUUCAGGACGGUUUCUUACACACCACUGUGGUUGGAACAAGCUGACUGAUACAGAAGGGGAAACAGAAAUUCCCCUGGCACAGAUCCUGGUAGCAGCCAGGAACAGUCGACUAAGAACUCUGACAUUAGCAAAGUUAGAAAAAGAUUUUUUUCUUCUUUUUUUAGAAGCAGCAUCUGAUCACGUGGCGGAGUCACUUGUGAAACAAGCUGAAGGAGACUUAUUAACCAGAAAACCCAGGAGCCGACUUCCUCGUUGACUCCUCAGAUCCAGGGUCGUGCUUCUUUCACAGCCAGCAGCCCUGCUCUGCGUUUGACCCCGGCUGGACCGAGUUAUUCUGGAUCUCGUGACUCUGGGGCUUAAAAUAGUCUCUGCUGAGCCAUCUGCCUGGGGACCCAUCUCACUCCUGAGAGGUGUAGCAGCUGGGGCAGAGCUGAGCGCGGCUCCUGUUAAGGAAGUGAACAAUCUCUGGGCUUCGCUCCAUCCUGUGAGUGCGCCCAGGGGAGAAAAUAAAACAGAGGGCAUUUGGCUGCCAGAGAAGAGUAAGAGCUUAAGGAGAGAACCCGGCGGGGGGGA
This 1238-nucleotide long non-coding RNA is filed under the name Marmota monax (woodchuck). The record is from RNAcentral. Lineage: Eukaryota; Metazoa; Chordata; Mammalia; Rodentia; Sciuridae.